UUUACCUUUGCAGGAGCUGGUGUGCUUGAAAAAGCGCUUAAAAGGGAAUCCGGUGAAAAUCCGGAGCAGACCCGCUGCUGUAAGCUUCAAACCAAAAUUUUUUGAAAAUAACAUCCACUGUUUUUUUUAACGGGAAGGAUUUCAAAAAUGAAGUAAGUCAGAAGACCUGCCAGAAAUGUUGUGAUGAA
This 188-nucleotide non-coding RNA is filed under the name Chryseobacterium sp. Lineage: Bacteria; Pseudomonadati; Bacteroidota; Flavobacteriia; Flavobacteriales; Weeksellaceae. The record is from RNAcentral.